UUAAGCAUAUCAAUAAGCGGAGGAAAAGAAACCAACAGGGAUUGCCCUAGUAACGGCGAGUGAAGCGGCAACAGCUCAAAUUUGAAAUCUGGCCUUCGGGUCCGAGUUGUAAUUUGUAGAGGAUGCUUUUGGCGCGGUGCCUUCCGAGUUCCCUGGAACGGGACGCCUUAGAGGGUGAGAGCCCCGUACGGUUGGACACCAAGCCUUUGUAAAGCUCCUUCGACGAGUCGAGUAGUUUGGGAAUGCUGCUCUAAAUGGGAGGUAAAUUUCUUCUAAAGCUAAAUAUUGGCCAGAGACCGAUAGCGCACAAGUAGAGUGAUCGAAAGAUGAAAAGCACUUUGAAAAGAGGGUUAAAUAGCACGUGAAAUUGUUGAAAGGGAAGCGUUUGCGACCAGACCUUUUCUUGGCGGAUCAUCCGGUGUUAUCACCGGUGCACUUCGCCAGGUUGAGGCCAGCAUCGGUUUUUGUAGGGGGAUAAAAGCCUAGGGAAUGUGGCUCCUUCGGGAGUGUUAUAGCCCCUCGCAUAAUACCCUUACGGGGACCGAGGACCGCGCUUUAUGCAAGGAUGCUGGCGUAAUGGUCGUCAACGACCCGUCUUGAAACACGGACCAAGGAGUCGAACAUUUGUGCGAGUGUUUGGGUGUUAAACCCUCACGCGUAAUGAAAGUGAACGGAGGUGAGAGCCCUUACGGGUGCAUCAUCGACCGAUCCUGAUGUCUUCGGAUGGAUUUGAGUAAGAGCAUAACUGUUCGGACCCGAAAGAUGGUGAACUAUGCGUGGAUAGGGUGAAGCCAGAGGAAACUCUGGUGGAGGCUCGCAGCGGUUCUGACGUGCAAAUCGAUCCGUCAAACCCUGCGC
RNAcentral lists this ribosomal RNA (858 nucleotides) under Xylaria mali. RNAcentral's name for it is "LSU rRNA". It matches the Rfam family "Eukaryotic large subunit ribosomal RNA", at positions 34 to 916 of the family's 3401-position model. Lineage: Eukaryota; Fungi; Ascomycota; Sordariomycetes; Xylariales; Xylariaceae. The record is from RNAcentral.